GACCCUGGUCACCGUCUCCUCAGCCACCACAAAGCGCCCUUCCGUCUUCCCUCUGGCUUCUGGAUGUGUGGACACUGGCUCCAUGAUGACUCUGGGCUGCCUGGUCAAGGGCUACUUUCCCGAACCUGUGACCGUGACAUGGAACUCAGGGUCCCUGACCAGCGGAGUACACACUUUCCCAGCCAGUCUUCAGUCGGGCCUAUACUCACUCACCAGCAUGGUAACUCUGCCCUCCAGCCAGAAGAAGGCCACCUGCAACGUAGCCCACCCGGCCAGCAGCACCAAGGUGGACAAGAUUGUUGAGCCCAGCACCAAAGGCGGUAGCGACAAGUCUUCCACAUGUCCCACAUGUCCCACAUGUCCCAAGUGCCCACCUCCUAAUCUCCAGGGAGGACCAUCUGUCUUCAUCUUCCCCCCAAGACCCAAGGACACGCUCAUGAUCUCCCUGACCCCCAAGAUCACUUGUGUUGUGGUAGACGUGAGCCAAGAUGACCCUGAUGUCCAGUUCACAUGGUUUGUGGACAACAAACAGGUGAACACAGCUGAGACAAAGCCCCGAGAGGAGCAAUUCAACACCACCUUCCGCGUGGUCAGUGUCCUCCCCAUCCUGCACCAGGACUGGUUGAACCGCAAGGAGUUCAAGUGCAAGGUCAACAACAAUGCCCUGCCAGCCCCCAUUGAGAAAACCAUACGCAAAGUUGGAGGGGAAGCCCGGGAGCCGGAAGUGUAUGUCCUGGCCCCACACCGAGAGGAGCUGUCCAAGGAGAAAGUCAGUUUGACCUGCCUGGUCACUAGCUUCUUCCCUGAAGACAUUCAUGUGGAAUGGGCAAACAACGGGCAGCCGGUGGACCUACAGGACUACAAGACCACCCCACCCAUGAAGGACACUGACAACUCCUACUUCCUCUAUAGCAAGCUCCGUGUGGACAGGCACAAAUGGGACCAGGGAACCGUCUACACCUGCUCCGUGAUGCACGAAGCCCUGCACAACCAUCUCACGCAGAAGAACAUCUCCCGGUCUCCGGGUAAUUGAGUGCUGUGCCCAGCAAGCCCUCACUAACCUGCGGAUUCUCAAGUCCUGUAGGACCCUUUCCCCCAACACCCAUGUAAAUAAAGCACCCAGCACUGCCUGGGACCCUGCGA
Non-coding RNA from Fukomys damarensis (Damara mole-rat), 1143 nucleotides. Lineage: Eukaryota; Metazoa; Chordata; Mammalia; Rodentia; Bathyergidae. The record is from the annotation of a RefSeq genome assembly.